Molecule: long non-coding RNA, 528 nt
Filed under: Panax ginseng (ginseng)
Lineage: Eukaryota; Viridiplantae; Streptophyta; Magnoliopsida; Apiales; Araliaceae
Description: long non-coding RNA (PGIN_LNC007049)
Source: RNAcentral
ACUGUGCUCAUGCUCCAGCUCUUCGACCCGGCCCUCCGCUCGGGCCGCCUGGCGUCGGGUCUCAGCAUGAGAAUCCCGUUCCUUCUUCAGGUCCGCCUGCAGACCCCGAACUUCAGCCUCCAGAAACUCCACCUCCGUCCCAAGCUGAACUUCUUUCUUUGUGGAUCGGGCGAGGGGAGGGAUAGCUCGGGCAAGUAUAGCGUUGGCCUGCAGUAAACACAUACAUCAGUACAAGAAGGAAAGAUCAAAGUUAAUAGCAGCAAUCAGAUUGACAAAGGGAAUUACCUGGGUCUGAGCUCGAACAUAGGCCACCAAGAACUGAUCGGGAGAGUACCCUUUAAACCGGUCAUCGUCACCAGGUAGUUUGAAGUGAUCGAAGAGGGUAAAGGGGAAGACCUCCGACGGGCUCUUGGGCCAACAGGUGGUUGGUGAUCCCCGAGAAGAGCUGGGACCGGAAGAAGGAGUGGCGGAACGGUCCAGACCGGGGACCACCAUCUCACCUGUCGGCUGAUCGGAACCUUCCGACAA